GGUGGGUGGGCCCGGGCCGCCGGCUAGGGCUAGCGGGAGGUGCGCCUGUCGUGUGGUGUCGGGGUGGCCGAGACGCCCCCGCGGCUCGUGCGAGGGCAGACGACAGCCCCAGAUGGGGGUCGUUGCUGCCUUGACAAGUGCUGGAAACGCAGCCGCGGACGCGGAGGCGUUAGCUGGAGUGAGCGAUCCGGGCUGCUGGGCUGUGUGCUGGGGCCAGCAAUGAAGAGUCGCUUCCAGGCCCCCCGCCCCGUCCAACCUGAAUCGGAACGCGCCGCCGAAUUCCACCGUCAUUUUCAUCCAGGAUGAGAUUCUGGUUGCUCCGUCCGAGUGAAAAAAAAAUGCCACUAAAUUGUUUCCCUUUUGCUUCGCAUACAGUACUCGCCUUUGUUGACAGUCUCUCCUAGCCGUUUCGCCGGUGCCAUCCAUAGAAAGAAUUCAGAAACAAACUUCCUCAGGUGUAGAAUGAACCACAGUUCCGCAGUGAGCAGCGUCCCCGAUACGGGCAGUGGAUCCACUCGUGCCGUGCGGGUUUAGGACCGGGUCUUUCUCCUGCCCCGGGGGGAAGGAAGUGCAGUUCCGCUGUCCUCGGUCGGUGGCCGUCUCGGUCAGCGUGGGCAGAGGCACUUGGGGCAGCAGUGGGGCUCAGGUGGCAUUUUUGGUGGCUCAUGAGUGACAGUGCUCCUGAGAUGGGAGCAGCGAGCUGCAAAGUAUUAAAAAAAAAUGUGUUGGUUACUGGCUGUGUAGAAGUGGGGUCCUAGAAGACGUGUCUGUUUAUCAGUCUUUGAUAAAUUGCAUUUGUCUUUCAGGAAUAAUUUAAGAUCACUGAUUGGUUCUGAAUCCUCCACCAGAUCUAACCUCUGUGGAGGUGAAGCUUUCUGAUGCAUUGGUUUCAUCCAUUUGUAAGCAUUGUCGUUUACCUCCUGAGUGUACAGACACUGUUUGAAAGUCUGGAGAAGGCGCAGACAUCGGGCCUGGCGGUUAAAAUGCCUGCCUCUUUCAUCCGGCGUGCCUGGGUGUGAUUCCUGUCCGCGCCCCACCAGCUUUCUGCCGGGGGCACACGCUGGGAGACAUUGGUGAGGAUUCCGGGGGUUGAGUUCUUGCCCCCGGCAUGGGAAGCCUGAGCUGAGUUCCUGGCCCCUGGUCCGCCGUGGACAUUCGGGGAGGACCAGGUGCACCCACGCAUUGUCUCUUAGGUAGGUGGAGGGCUGGGCGUAAAAGCUGGAGGAGAGCGGGAGACUGCUGCUUGUGCCGGUGGGGCACAGACACAGCUGAGAAGCAGCCGACUUGGGGCUGCCAGGUGGUGAUGAGCGCAGCGGACAGGACAGAGCCGUGAAGGGGGAGUGUCGGAGACCGGGUCCUCGAUGAGUUCUCGCUGAGGAGCGGGGAGGAGCAGGGGUGCAGAGGCCUGGAGGGGAGGCUGCGGCUGUGCAGGGCAGUGUCGGGAAUGGCGUCUGUGUAGUGCCCUCUGUUCUCCCUGCCUUCGUGUCCUCCCUCCCACAGCCACGUCCCCCUCUUCCUUCAUGUCUUCUCCUCCCACAGCCACGUCCCCCUCUUCCUUCAUGUCCCCCUCUUCCUUCAUGUCCCCCUCUUCCUUCAUGUCCUUCCUUCCAGGGCCACGUGGCCACGUCCCCCUCUUCCUGCAGUGUCCUCCCCUCACAUGGCCACGUCCCCCUCUUCCUUCAUGUCCUUCCCUCCCACAGCCACGUGGCCAUGUCCCCCUCUUCCUUCAUGUCCUUCCUUCCAGGGCCACGUGGCCACGUCCCCCUCUUCCUGCAGUGUCCUCCCCUCACAUGGCCACGUCCCCCUCUUCCUUCAUGUCCUUCCCUCCCACAGCCACGUGGCCAUGUCCCCCUCUUCCUUCAUGUCCUUCCUUCCAGGGCCACGUGGCCACGUCCCCUGCUUCCUGCAGUGUCCUCCCCUCACACGGCCACAUCCCCCUCUUCCUUCAUGUCCUUCCCUCCCACAGCCACGCGGUCACAUCCCCCUCUUCCUUCAUGUCCUUCCUUCCAGGGCCACGUGGCCACAUCCCCUUCUUCCUUCAGUGUCCUCCCCUCCCAGGGCCACGUGGCCAUGUCCCCUCUUCCUUUGUGUCCUCCCCUCCCAGGGCCACGUGGCCACGUCCCUCUCUUCCUUCAGUGUCCUCCCCUCCCAGGGCCACGUGGCCACAUUCCCCUCUUCCUUCAUGUCCUCCCCUCCAGGGCCGUGCAGCCACGUUCCCUUCUUCCUCGUUCUGGAUCCAGCUCCAAUAUCACUUAAGCAGUCCCUGAAAUAUUUUUAUUUAUUUGAAAGGCAGAGAGCACUAUCUUACAUCCACUGGUUCACCUUCCUUAUGUCUGCAAUAGCCAGGUCUGGGCUAGGCUGGGUCAGCAGGAGCCUGAAAUUCUAUCCAUGUCUUCCACUUGGGUGGCAGGGACUCAAGUAUUUGAGCCAUCACUUGCUGCUUCCCAGGAUGCACUUGAGCAGAAACUGGACUGCAGGCUCAGCGGGGACCCCGCCGAGCUCUCAGCUUGUGCGUUACCAGGGAGCAGAGUGGCCGGCUCCUGAACCAGGCACUGCGGCGGGAGGCCAGCACCCCAUGUGACGGCUUAACCCGCCGUGCUGCGGCACCUGCCCGCACGCCCUGAAAUAUUUUACCUCGUGGAAAGGCUAUUGGUUCUUAGGAUUUUGUUUUUUAUCUUUGUUGCGACACGCUAUCCUGUUUUACAGCUUACUUUCUUGGGGAUCUGUCCUAUAGAAUUCCUAAAGGAAGGUGCCAGAUUUUAGGUAGAGUUUGUGUUAGUCUCUGCAAUCCCUGAGUCUUGAAAUAGUCUUGAAAUAAGUGUGUGCAUUUAUAAUCUCUCAGGUUGGGAUAGAAUUUGAAUUAGAGUUGACUUUCUGGAUUGUUGUUCUGCCUCUUAAAAUUUAGUCCUUUGUUAAGCAGAGGUUUUAAAACCUAUGCCUUUAACAUUAAAAAAAGGGUGAAAUGAUUGCUCUCACGUGUUUUUAUAGUUUGGAAUUUUAUUUUUCAAAUUUAUUUAACAAAAGAGAGAGCUCUCAUCUGCCAGUUUACUCCUCAAUUACAGGCAAAGCCAGAGCCAGGAACUCAAUCCACGUCUCCCUGGGGGCGGCAGGAACCCAUUUUCUUGAACCGCGGAAGUUGCCUCCGGGGUCUGCCUUAGCCCAAAGCUGGGAUCAGGAGCAGAGCCAGGCAGGAAACCCUUGUGUUGAACUCUAGGCCGAAUACCCACCGCAUAUCUUUGUUUUGGGUUGAAAGAAGCCUCUAAGAAGUAUACAUCCAAGAAGACUGGUAGCUUUUAGUGUAAGUUAUUAAGCAGUGUGUUGGGUGUGCUUGCAGACAGUUCUGUACACUCAGGAGACUGAGGUUCAGUCCUGUAAUAAUGAUUUAACUUUGAGCAGUUGGAAAUUGUUUAACCUUUUACCAACAAGUUUCCAUAACUGAUUGGAUUUUCAACCCCUGUUCCCUCUUAUAACACUUGAUGUACGUGCAUCUCACUCUUUAAUAGUACAGAUUUCCAUUUCAUGCUAUCAAGUUUAGAUUUUUUUUUUUCUUAAUUUGAGAGAUAGAGUUACAGACAGUGAGAGGGAGAGAGAGAAAGGUCUUCCUUCCUUUGGUUCACCCCCCAAAUGGCUGCAAUGCUGGAUCUGCACCUAUCCGAAGCCAGGAGCCAGGAGCUUCUUCCAGGUCUCCCAUGUGGGUACAGGGGCCCAAGGACUUGGGCCGUCUUCUACUGCUUUCCCAGGCCAUAGCAGAGAGCUGAUCAGAAGUGGAGCAGCUGGGACUAGAACUGGCACCCAUAUGGGAUGCAGGUGCCACAGGUGGAGGAUUAACCUAUACCACAGCGCCUGUCCCCAUGUUUAGAUUUGAUUGUGCCUCCAAGCUGCUGGCCUGUGUGGGACAUCUGAAGUCACACACCUGUUCUGCUGAACUGGAGUUUUGGUUCCUUCUGCUGCAGUCAGACCUUAAGAAACCAAGGGUGAACUCCAAGAGUGUCCCCUUUCGUUUCUGCCUUUGUUCUUGAGCUGUGUCACUGAGAAGUUCAUGCGCUUCUCUUGGUUUGUCUCUUUAAAUUGAUGCUUAGCCACAUCAGCUUGGCAACAGUAACCUUUGGUCUUUUAUUACUGUUUGCCUGGAGAUACUUGUAUCGUACUGUAAAUGACAAGUGAGACUUAAAACUUGUGUUUCAUAAACCCAGUGUAUUUUUAGCUAGCUAUUAAACAAAGCAAAAAAGAAGAACCCUUUGGUUAUGAUUACUAUGUUAUUAGUGAACCAUAGUGUACUCUUGGUGAAUCAUGCUAAUAAAGUAGAAAUGGUUUGCUUUUAUAUGAAUUCUCUUCGUUGCUUCCAAGAUACAAAGCAUUGUGUGGAUGUAGGCGUGUGUGCAUGGACAUAUCACACGUAGAUAAAGUACAAGCAGGAACAUUUCAAACUGUAAGAUACAAGAAUUGCCUCAUUUUUUAAUAACUCUGUUAGAUUACUGAGUUGUUUGUCAACCUGAUGCAAGCCUAGAAAGAUCUUUAUGGUUAUUUUCUUGGUGAUUUUUUUUGACUUGAGAGGAUAUGUAGCAUUUUUUUCUUUCUUAAUGCUGCAUCCAUGUUUAUUGAUCUAUUAAUCUUUUUUUUUUCUGGUCACUAUUAAGACAGCUUAUUUCUGUGAUGAAAUAAUUCUAGUUCUGAGAAUUCAGGUGCUGGCAUUUCAGCUUUUUUGUUAAGAAAGUUCCCGAUGAUUUGGUUUUCUUCUGUGUUGGUAGGAAUGCUGUUGGUUACGUAAGUUGGGUUCUUUGUAGCCCAACUCAGAUGCUUAAAAAGAACUUUGUGCCUAAUAGGAAGUGCAUAGUAGUAGACAGCUUGCAAAAUUGCCUCAUUCAGCAAACCAGUAACUUCGGGGAAAGACCCAGUUCCUUUCUCUUUCACUGUCUAUCUUCACACAAUCACUAGUUCAGUCCAGAGAGGGACAGUGAUGGGGAAUCCUAGAAUGUGUCUUUUCUUCUUUCAAAUGAGUUAGACCUACCCAAGACCACCAACAACGUAUUCUGAUCAGAGGUCAACCUUGGGGCUGAGGAGGAAGGGGAAACGGGACUGGUGUUCUGUUGGAAAUACGGCACAGAGGAGUGGAUGCUGGUCUCCAGUCCCUCUCAAUUAUUUUUAAUUUUUGUUUUUAUUAAUGUAUAGUUGUUUGAUGUAUGUGUAUAUUGUGAAAUGGGUAAACAGCCUAAUUCACGUGUCUGUCAACAGUCCCUUUUAGCUCAUGUUUCUUUUCAAUAGAUGUUUUUUCUUAUCUAAUUGUAGAUUGUGAGGUUGUUAAUAUCAGGAAUGGUUCUUUACGAUAGACAAUUAACAGGUCACAAUAAGUGUUAGUUCAAGAUACACCUUAUGUUAAAGGAUCAUUAACAAUUCAAAUUCUAAUAUGAUCACAAUUUUUGUGUAAAUAUUUUUGAAAAUCUGUGUUUUGUUUUUAAAUUAUAUGAAACGCAUUAAUAGUAAAGGAGAGAAAAUGUUGAAAAUGAUGGUGAUUUUGGCUCGAUUAGGGAAGUGUUGUCAGUGGGCUGUGUCACAUGUCAUUCAUUGGUCUUUCUGGUCAGGAGAAAGGUCUUGGGUAGGGCGGCUGUAUUGUGUUUCUGCAGCAGUCAUUGGUUGCUGCAUUAUUUAUUGUUUUAAAUUUUAAUUAAGUUCUCUUUUGUGAUCGUAUGGAACAUGAGUAUUAUGAUCACUAGGGUCAUCCUUGACUGGGCCACACAGAGAUAAUUGGAAGCUCUGGGUGUUUUCCUCCAGUCCUGUGUUCCCUUCCAGAAUGCCCCAAUGAAGAGUACGCGAUUUUAGACGCAGGUAGUACAAAAUGAACGCAUUGGAGCUGGUGGUGGAUUUCUUUUCUUUUCUUUUUUUUUUUUUUUUUGAGAUUUAUGUAUUUAUUAGAAAGGCAGAGUCACAGAGAGAGACAGAGAGAUAAAGAGAGAUCUUCUAUCUGCUGGUUCACUCCCCAAAUGGCCACAAUGGCUGGAGCUGGGCCAGUCUGAAGCCAGGAGCUUCUUCCGGGUCUCCAAGUGGGUACACGGGCCCAAGGACUUGGGCCGUUGUCUGCUGCUGUCCCAGGCACAUUAGCAGAGAGCUGAAUGGGAAGUGGAACAGCUGGGACUUGAACUGGAACCCACUUCGGAUGCCGUUGCCACAGGAGGCAGCUCUACCCAUCUGCCACAGCGCCAGCCCUGGUGGUGGAUUUCUUAAACAGUUGUGGCUUUAAGAUAAAAAUGUUAAUUUCUGUCUACUCUUGUAAUUUUCACAUACACGAAUGCAUAUGAAUAACAAGUUAAUAAUUUGCAUAUAUACCUGGGUUUGAUUCCCUACUCUCUGGCUCCUACCUCCAGCCUCCUUCUGUGCAGACCCUGGGAGGCAGCAGUGGUGGCUCAGGUAGUUGGGUUCCUGGCACCCCUGUUGAAGACCUGGGUUGAGUUCCUGGCUCCUGGCUGCCAGUCUAGCCCUGGCUGUGUUGUAGGCAUCUGGGGAGUGAACCAGCAAAUGGGAGCUGUCUCUCAGUUGCUCUUCUCUUCCUAUCAAAAAAAUUUCGUUUAAAGAAGUCAUGUUAGGAAAAGUUGGAGAUGCCCUUUCCCAGCCCACCCUGCCGUGUCAGCUUCUCCUUGUCAGAUCCUUUGAACGGCAGCGUAGGGAAUUCGCUCUCUUUGCCGAGGGGUCAGGCAGCUCUUUGCAAGCCUGGGGACCUUCUGCCCUGUCAAGCCGGCUGCUCAACAUUCAGUCAGUCUGCAGUAGGCUAAUGUUUAAGUUGAUAAUAUCGUUCAGCCCGUGACUGAUGUUACAGAUAACCAAAUGGCCCUUAGCAGAGAAAGGCUCCCCCCACCCCAGUCGUAGAGGAACGUUGCUGGGAAAAGCAGCAAAGGGGCUGCAGGCCCCUCCUCUCCCUGGACGUCUUCCUUCCACAGGUGUUUCCUUGUUGUUUGUGUGUCUAAGCGCUGGGAAGGUAGUGAUAAGUUUUAGUGGCAAGAGGGGGUUAAUAGAUGGACUCUGCAAGGCCGUGGGGAGUCUGCAGAGAAACGCAGCAGUGCACGGGGGCCCAGGUGACGAGCGGAGGCUGUGUUAGCCGGGGUCCGCAGGCAGAGCAGCCCCCGCACCCAGCCUGUGAGAAGAGCUCUGAUUGAGGGGAGAGAGGAAGAAUUGCAGGAGCAGCCGAGUAGGGAAGGGAUCGGGCAGGGUGGAGUCCCGUGCAUGGGGCUCACUGGAUGUGGUCAGGAAUAGCAAGAAGGCACGCUGGGUAAUGACAGGAAGAGUGGCAGGAGAUGAAGCCAGCAGGAUGGAGCCGCACCGCACCUCCUCUCACAUCCCUCUGUGGUGGUGGUGACCUCAUCCCAGCGUGCCCUCCACUGCCCUCCACGAGUCCUCCGCGUGUUUGUGCGCUUGCGCAGCGCCCUUGCUGGAAGGGUGGAGCUGCUCCCUCCCCUCUGCUCACCUUGCUGAUGCACCUGUUAGCGUUGGGCCCUGCAGAGGGGUGCUCACCCAGUGAAAGCAGGUAGACGUCUCUGUUCUCGUUCUGUGCAGCCUCCCUGCCGGUGAGUCCUGUGAUCAAGCUGGUGCCAUUUCCUGUCACCUUCAAAGUCACACAACCCAAGAAGAAAACUUUUUUUUUAGACCUCUCACGGGCAAACAAAAUCCCCGUGAUGCCGCCGAGCACCACCGCGUGGAGCCGAGCAGCGCUUCCAUCUUUCCUGCCUUCCUUGGAGCCUGACGUCAUGGCAGGAGUCACUCCCUCUCGGUCAGCGUUUUUUGUUUGUUUGUUUGUUUAAAUUUGACAGGUAGAGUUAUAGACAGUGAGAGAGAGAGACAGAGAGAAGGUCUUCCUUCCCUUGUUCACUUCCCAAAUGCAGCUCCAGCCGAAGCCGGGAGCCAGGUGCCUCUUCCCGGUCUCCCGUGCCGGUGCAGGGCCCAAGCACUUGGGCCAUCCUCAACUGCCCUUCCGGGCCACAGCAGAGAGCUGGGCUGGAAGAGGAGCAGCUGGGACUAGAACCUGGUGCCCACAUAGGAUGCUGGCGCCGCAGGCAGAGGAUUAACCAAGUGAGCCACGGCGCCGGCCCCGUCGGCGUUCUUUUUGUUCCUGGGGACGAAGGGACCUGUUUGAAUUUUCCAAAGACCCAUUGGGUGAUUUUGAUUUAUGGGUGCUGAGUGCAAGGAUUACCUGUUCACCUAUCAUGAGUGUGUUCUGCUGCUUCCUGUCUUACUGUGAUAAAGAAGAGUUAUAAACUAAUUUUAAUGCAGAAAAAUGUGUAUCAUAAAAUCCAUUUUUCAGCAUUUUAAGUGUACUGUCGCCUUCACUAUCAUCUGCGUUGUAGAACUUUCCGUCCUCCUCUGACCCUGUACGUACUGAGCGCUGACUCUUCCCCCUCUCCCAGCCCCCGGGACCCUCAUUCUACUUUCUGUCUCUGAAGUUGACCAGGAACCUCAGAGUGAAGACACACAGCAGCAGAUCAUCAGGGAGACCUUCCACUUGGUCUCUAAGAGGGAUGAGAACGUCUGUAAUUUCCUGGAAGGAGGAUUUUCAUAAUCAGUCUUAAGCUGUGUAACUUACUGUGACCUGUGGAGUUAAAUCUAAUUAAUUGGAGGAUCUGACAACAAACUGAUUUAUAGACAUUAUGCAACGUUAUAUUUUGUCUUCUGUGUGGAUUCUUCAGAAAGUGAACUUGGCAUUUUAGAUCUAAUUCAAGUAUUUGUGGAAACAUUAGACAAGUGUUUUGAAAAUGUCUGUGAGCUGGAUUUGAUUUUCCACGUAGACAA
Non-coding RNA from Oryctolagus cuniculus (rabbit), 8772 nucleotides. The record is from RefSeq and is a predicted model, not a curated record. Lineage: Eukaryota; Metazoa; Chordata; Mammalia; Lagomorpha; Leporidae.